CCAGGGGCUCAUCCCUGCCUGCUGCUCCCGUUCCAGGGGAACAUCGUGGUGCUGGUUCACAGCAACGAGGAUUCAGAAGACGAGGAGAAUGAACUGCUUGUGAACUCCCUGUGUCAUCACAGCGACCUCAUCCUGUGGGCAGAGGGGCUGGCCACCGGCUUCUGCAAGGAUGUUCACGGGCAGAUUAAGAUAAGCAAGAGAUUGUCCUUGCGGCAGGCGGGGGAGCAGGACCUGGUCCAGAUCUACCAGUACAAGAUCCAGGACAGGAACGUCACCUUUUUCGCACGGGGGCUGUCAGCUGCGGUCCUGUGACACUGAGGCCCUGUGGCACUGCCAUCCUGUGGCACUGCCAUCCUGUGGCACUGCGGUCCUGUGACAAUGCCAUCCUGUGACAAUGCCAUCCUGUGACAAUGCCAUCCUGUGACACUGUGGCAGCUCAGAGCCCGGGAAUGGCAGUCCCUGCCUCUGCAGAGCACCAGCAGCACCUCUCAGCAGCAGCACAGCAAACUGACCCGGCUGGGAAGCUCACACUCACCUGGAGCGGUGCCAAGGUGGGAUCAGCCUGCCUGGAGCCUGCUGCAUCCCUUUGUCCUCCCACCCCGUUCCCAACACACUCAGGCCAAGAACGGGAGCAAGAACUUGCAGGAAUGGCCCUUAGAGCGUGUAAAUACAGGCGGGAGGUGCCCCGCGGGCUGGGCGUUCCCGGCCUCACCUUUUCCGCUGUGUUGGGCACGGCAGUGCCAGGCGCUGCACGCCUGGGGAGCGGGGAGAUGACACACAGCGGGUGGAGCAGGGAGCCUGGCGCAAUCCUGGCCCUGCUCCCAGCUCUGGCUGGCAGAGAUUGGCCAGCUGCCAGCAGUUGGUAAAUGCAUGGCUCCGUGUACAGCCCCUGGCCUGGCUGUGCUGAGAGCUGGGCGCUGCCCUGGUUCAUCCCCUCAGGCUGCCCGAGCUCAUCCUGGCCUUUGUGCUUGGGUAAACCCCUCUGGGAGCCCGUCUCAGCCACUGCUUCCUCACCCCAAACCCUGACCAGCAGCUACAUGACCUGCCUGUGCUGAAGCGUUUUUUUAAAAUAAUAAUCUGUAAUUUUAGCGAGAUAAGGGUACUGUGAUUAAGUAACUGCAGAUCUCGGGGUGGGAACUGCUCCCUGCCUGCUCCUUGGCAGGGAUCAGGAAUGGGCAUCUCCCAAGCCUGGAGGAGGAGAGCCCUUCCUCAUGGCUGUCCUGGGAGCAGGGAUUUCCAGGUCUCCUGGUCCACGCUCCUGCUGGGAUAUCCCAUUUAUCCUGGGAGAUAAAAACAUCCCAUGUGCUUGUGAGAGUCCAGAGCAACCUGCCAGGUCCUUGCAGCUCCAGAGCUGGGAUAGCAGCCCUGGCAGUGGCACACAUUCCUGAUGCUCCGUGUAGGCUCAGUGACCACCCCGUGCUGGUCUGGGGACAUUCCUUUGAGUCAGAGUUUUGGGAGCCCUGGCAUGCUCAGGGCUGUGGCUGCUGAUCAGUGGCAGCCCAGGGAAGCCAGGCAGGCUCCAGGGGUUGUGGAGGGACUCAGGCCAUGGGUGUGCUACAGGACCACUCAUCCCUGGUGUCCCCUGGGUGGAAGUGGCAGUGCCCAGUGGCAGUGCUGCUGUCCCAGGGGUGGUGGCAGUGCCCAGGGGUCAGUGCACUGUCACAGAGUGCAAAGGGAGGAUGAGAGGACUGGGAGCUGCUGGCACUGCAGCUGUGACGGGCACAGAGUGGUGUAUAAUUGGAGUAAUAUCUGUGUGAUUGUCCUUGGAGACAUCCCAAAGCCUGGCUCCUGGGCUCUGCCUCCCUCUCUGGGAACAGGCGGGG
Molecule: non-coding RNA, 1823 nt
Organism: Cyanistes caeruleus (blue tit)
Lineage: Eukaryota; Metazoa; Chordata; Aves; Passeriformes; Paridae
Source: RefSeq, a predicted model, not a curated record